UACAGAGGUCUCAAGCGUUGUUCGGAUUCAUUGGGCGUAAAGGGUGUGUAGGUGGCGCCGUAAGUCGGGUGUGAAAUUUCGGAGCUUAACUCCGAAACUGCAUUCGAUACUGCGGUGCUUGAGGACUGGAGAGGAGACUGGAAUUCAUGGUGUAGCAGUGAAAUGCGUAGAGAUCAGGAGGAAGACCAGUGGCGAAGGCGGGUCUCUGGACAGUUCCUGACACUGAGACACGAAGGCCAGGGGAGCAAACGGG
Molecule: ribosomal RNA, 253 nt
Filed under: uncultured bacterium
Lineage: Bacteria
Description: partial 16S ribosomal RNA
Rfam family: Bacterial small subunit ribosomal RNA
Source: RNAcentral